Molecule: ribosomal RNA, 369 nt
Filed under: uncultured bacterium
Lineage: Bacteria
Description: bacterial SSU rRNA
Rfam family: Bacterial small subunit ribosomal RNA
Source: RNAcentral
UUUCAGUCAGUGAGGAAGGUGGGUAUGUUAAUAGCAUAUUCAUUUGACGUUUAGCUGCAGAAGAAGCACCGGCUAACUCCGUGCCAGCAGCCGCGGUAAUACGGAGGGUGCGAGCGUUAAUCGGAAUUACUGGGCGUAAAGCGCAUGCAGGUGGUUUGUUAAGUCAGAUGUGAAAGCCCGGGGCUCAACCUCGGAAUUGCAUUUGAAACUGGCAAACUAGAGUACUGUAGAGGGGGUAGAAUUUCAGGUGUAGCGGUGAAAAUGCGUAGAGAUCUGAAGGAAUACCGGUGGCGAAGGCGGCCCCCUGGACAGAUACUGACACUCAGAUGCGAAAGCGUGGGGAGCAAACAGGAUUAGAUACCCUGGUAG